Molecule: long non-coding RNA, 519 nt
Organism: Hypanus sabinus (Atlantic stingray)
Lineage: Eukaryota; Metazoa; Chordata; Chondrichthyes; Myliobatiformes; Dasyatidae
Exons: 4
Source: RefSeq, a predicted model, not a curated record
CGCCGGACAGCAGGCGGAAACACGUCACUGCGGGACCGCUGCGAGCGACGCACACAGCGCGAGGCCCGAGCCGGUUCCGUUAAAACCGUUGAAAGUUGAACCAGGCGCGCGGCCGUUAAAGCACGACUGGGCAGGUCGGCCAGUGAGAACAGCGAGAAGAGUUUAAAAGGAAGACAGAUUUACAGAGCGAGCGUCAGAGGAGCGGGAGACAGAGUAGGAAGGCUUUGGCUCAACGGGGCUUCGGCGAUGAAGGGUCGAGGCGAGGAUGAAGGACAAUGAUGAUCAAACUUGUAGCGAUUUACUAAACCCGUGUUCAGGGACACUGAGGGGUUUCAUUGACCGGGUCUGGACUGGAGCAAUAUUUACAGAGGUCCCAGAAACUAUUCUGUCCAGCUUUGGGACACCAAUCCGCAUUUUCACAAAGGUUUCCCACAUCACCCUCCGGGCGCGGGAGCCUUUCUCCAUCACCAGGCUCAGGAGGAGUUUAGAACUGUCCGCCCGCUCUCCCUUAUCAGCGAG